UACACGUUGGAACCUGCCCCAAAGUGAGGAAUAAGCCACCGAAAGGUGGUCUAAUACUUCAUAAUAUCCAUCUCGUAUGGAUUAAAGCUUUAUGCGCUUUGGGAGGGGCCUGCGUAACAUUAGCUUGUUGGUGAGGUAAAAGCUCACCAAGGCUUCGAUGUUUAACUGGUUUGAGAGGAUGACCAGUCACACUGGGACUGAGAUACGGCCCAGACUCCUACGGGAGGCAGCAGUAAGGAAUCUUCCACAAUGGGGCAACCUGAUGGAGCAAUACCGCGUGCAGGAUGAAGCGUUUCGGCGUGUAAACUGCUUUUAUCACCGAAGAUUAUGACUGUAGGUGAAGAAUAAGGACCGGCUAACUACGUG
This 366-nucleotide ribosomal RNA is filed under the name uncultured bacterium. RNAcentral's name for it is "bacterial SSU rRNA". It matches the Rfam family "Bacterial small subunit ribosomal RNA", at positions 112 to 507 of the family's 1533-position model. The record is from RNAcentral.